UGAGGAAUAUUGGGCAAUGGGGGAAACCCUGACCCGGCAACGCCGCGUGAAGGAAGAAGGCCUUCGGGUUGUAAACUUCUUUUACCAGGGACGAAGAACGUGACGGUACCUGGAGAAAAAGCCACGGCUAACUACGUGCCAGCAGCCGCGGUAAUACGUAGGUGGCAAGCGUUGUCCGGAUUUACUGGGUGUAAAGGGCGUGUAGGCGGAGCUGCAAGUCAGAUGUGAAAUCCCGGGGCUCAACCCCGGAACUGCAUUUGAAACUGUAGCCCUUGAGUAUCGGAGAGGCAGGCGGAAUUCCUAGUGUAGCGGUGAAAUGCGUAGAUAUUAGGAGGAACACCAGUGGCGAAGGCGGCCUGCUGGACGACAACUGACGCUGAUGCGCGAAAGCGUGGGGAGCAAACAGG
RNAcentral lists this ribosomal RNA (407 nucleotides) under uncultured bacterium. RNAcentral describes it as "bacterial SSU rRNA". It matches the Rfam family "Bacterial small subunit ribosomal RNA", at positions 355 to 776 of the family's 1533-position model. The record is from RNAcentral.